AUUGAACGCUGGCGGCAUGCCUUACACAUGCAAGUCGAACGGCAGCACGGGUGCUUGCACCUGGUGGCGAGUGGCGAACGGGUGAGUAAUACAUCGGAACAUGUCCUGUAGUGGGGGAUAGCCCGGCGAAAGCCGGAUUAAUACCGCAUACGAUCUACGGAUGAAAGCGGGGGACCUUCGGGCCUCGCGCUAUAGGGUUGGCCGAUGGCUGAUUAGCUAGUUGGUGGGGUAAAGGCCUACCAAGGCGACGAUCAGUAGCUGGUCUGAGAGGACGACCAGCCACACUGGGACUGAGACACGGCCCAGACUCCUACGGGCGGCAGCAGUGGGGAAUUUUGGACAAUGGGCGAAAGCCUGAUCCAGCAAUGCCGCGUGUGUGAAGAAGGCCUUCGGGUUGUAAAGCACUUUUGUCCGGAAAGAAAUCCUUGGCCCUAAUACGGUCGGGGGAUGACGGUACCGGAAGAAUAAGCACCGGCUAACUACGUG
RNAcentral lists this ribosomal RNA (486 nucleotides) under uncultured bacterium. RNAcentral's name for it is "partial 16S ribosomal RNA". It matches the Rfam family "Bacterial small subunit ribosomal RNA", at positions 30 to 507 of the family's 1533-position model. The record is from RNAcentral.